Molecule: long non-coding RNA, 6463 nt
Organism: Chelonia mydas (Green sea turtle)
Lineage: Eukaryota; Metazoa; Chordata; Testudines; Cheloniidae
Exons: 3
Source: RefSeq, a predicted model, not a curated record
AUUAUGUAUUUACGAUCGCUGGACUGUGAAAUGAAACAAGAGUUACUUUCCAGGAUUAAAUAUUUGUGGUGGCGCUGCGUAGAGUUUCGUCCAUAAUGGACUCACACAGAGAAAUGGUCUAACUUGGUAUGUGCAUAUUUGUUCCGAUUAGUUUUUCCAAUAGGCUAACUUUCUAAAUUAACUCUUCCCCCUCCCCCCGAAAUUCAAGGUCUUGGCCGAUUGUUCAAGACAUUGCGGAAUAAGAACAUUGCCUUGAAAAGCAAAGUUCAAUGCUCUAGCAACGGCAAACGCGGCGGGCCUGAUGCUGACCUCCAAUCUGUGUAAAUCAGCAGUCACCCCGAUGAACUCAAUGGAGUAAUGGGGUGUAAACCCACUAACACUAGAUCAGAACCAGUGAGUAAGGCAUUUAUUGCAUAAACUGUUUUAGAUUGUACCUUUCUUUAAAAGAAAGAAAGAAAGAAAGAAAGAAAGAAAGAAAGAAAGAAAGAAAGAAAGAAAGAAAGAAAAUCUUGCCUUGGAAGAAAGAAGGAAGCCAAGUUCUGCGCACCCCACAGCGUAAACCCGACAAGUGGAUUCUCCCCCCUACGCCCCACCCCUUUCCAACGGUCUGCUGAGCUGCUGUAAAGCCAUGGAAAGUACAGGGUUUUGAAAAUGGUGCCACAUGAAGUCAAGUCACAUGGUAAUCAGAAAAGAGAUGCUUACAAUGUUGCUUCUGACAAAGGCUUCAUUUCCAGCCUAAAAUACGCCUAGGGAUUUAGCAUCAAUUUAAACACUCAAACCUUGCAACGGGAGUUGACUCACGAUUUGGUCUGAACCCGCCGGAUGGUCAGAACGUCUGGCGUCGAAUCCUGCUCUCAGCUGGGUGGAUUUUCAGCCUUUCACAUGCCACUCCAAUCACCCUCAAGGCAGGGAAAAGGAAGAGGAAAAUAAUAACCAGAGGAACACCUCAACCAGCAACAGUUUCAACACCUCCAGCAGGAAAGUAAUCAGAUAUGUUUUUUUCCUCCUGGCUCAGACGCCAUGACUUCUGCAAAAGGUGUCUUUGAUCCUUCCCUUUAAGGCCCAUGCCAUAAAAAAAGAAGUCAUAGCUAAAGUCCACUUUAAAGUGAAGAGAUUUGAGCCCUCUUUUGCUCGCCCCCGCCCCCUUCUUCGUCUGAGGACCUUCCCUAAGAGUUUUUAUGAUUCCUCCCUGUGCAGUGUCAAAGCUUCGCGGCACCUACAGUGGAAUGGGCCCUUGUUACUACAGAGCUGCGUACAGAGCAGACAGGCGGCUAACCUUGGCCAUAUCUAGCUUCUCAAUCUCUUCCGCUCUCUAGUUCAGGAAGGCGUGUGGAUUUCCUCUAUUCCGCCAUUAAAAAUAAAAUAAAAUAAAAUAAAAUAAAAUAAAAAGGUGGAUCCGAAAAUCAAUAGGCACAAAGACUCUCCAGACUGGCUGGUUCCCUACCUCAGUGGCAGGCGGCCAAUCCACUACAUCACCCUGAAACUAUUUAGCAAGCAUCCCGCUGAAAUGGGGUCUUUUAAAAGACUCUCCCCCACCCCCUCUUCCCAAACGCCACUGGCUCUCAUAUAUUAUUUGGGCUAAUGUGAGGUUGUUCUCUUUCGUGUAGGGGGGUGGGGUUUGUAUAGACAGCGCCUUCCAUUGCUAGGAAUUUGAAGACCGAAUUCCCUGUUGACCAAGGAUAGUUGUUCUUGGGAUUAGAAAUGUCUGACCUUGAAGGUCACAGGUCAUGGUCUUGAAUAAGGAACAGACUCUUACAGAAGACUACGUUGGGCUGGUGAGGAUUCAAAAAAAGAACGCCUUUUGUUUGGUACUAGAACCAGACUCCUCCCUCAAGAGUUAUGGACCUCCUCAAGGUGAUCAAAUACCUGCAGAUAAAGCAAAAUAAACAUUUUGACACAUUUUCUGGGGGUGUGAUGGGGAGAGGGAAAGAGGGCUGGAGCCACAAGAUCUUAUUAUUUAUUAUUUGUGUUCUAGGAGGGCCUAGUAGCUACAGCUGAGAAGAAGGUCUCAUUGGGCUAGGUACAAACACAGAGAAAGAGAGUUCUGCCCACAGAGGUUAGGCCCAGAUCCUCAAAGAUAUUUAGGUGCCUAAAUGACAUGGAUUUCAUCCUAAAUACACUGCUAGGGGAAAGGAAGUAUCAUUAUCCCCAUUUUAUAGAGGGCAAGAAAGAUGAAGUGUUGCACCCAAGGUCCCACAGGAAGUUCGUGGCAGAGCCAGGAGCGGAGUCCAUGCCUCCUAAAUCCCAGUCUGAUGGCCUCACUACACAAACACCCUUCUUCUCUUCCCACUAAGCUAUGGGAUUAUUGUGCUGCCUGGGGCAAAUCACAUCACCAUUCUGUGCCUCAGUUUCCUCACCUGUAAAAUGGGGAUAAUAAUACAUACCUCCUUUACAGCAUUGUUGUGAAACUUCAUUCAUGUUUUCAAACAGUGCUAGGUCUGUACAUGGAAGUAUUACAAGUAUCAUAAACAUUCCCAAGUGGAGAGAGGUGGAUGUCACAGAUAUUCAGUGAUAAAAGCCCUAUAUUGAAUAAAAAACACAAAACUACUUCAGUCAGCAGUGAUGCACCUUUCCAUGAGUUCUAAUGGUUUAGGAGAUUGGUAAGGGUUACAGACACAUGAAACAUAUAGGACCAAAAAUUGUUACCAGUUCAUGAUUGGUGGUUGUUUAUGUGAAAAGGAGCUGGCAAUGCCAGUCCAGUUUGGAGAGGAAUUCUUGUGUACAAAUCACAGUUAGAAUUUACUGUUCCUGUGUUGUCUCAGCAAAGAGGCCAAGGGAUUGAGUGGGCCAAGGAAACUGAAUUCUCUAUAGGCAUCCCUAGAGAUGGUCCCUCCAAAUCAGGAAUGGGCUAUAUUUGUUUAAUGGCGGAGUCAUCUGAAUUGUACCAGUUUGAGGACAAAGAGGACUUCACUCUCCAGGAUUGUUUAAUUAGGCACCAUUCACUAAGUCCGGAUCCUAUAGACUGUUACACAUAUGCUUAGCGUUACACAGGUGAGGAGUUCUAUCAAGUUCAAUGGGGCUACUCACAUAAGUUGAAGUUACUCUGGUGCUUGAGUGCAUGCGGAACCAGGGCCUUAAUGUACUCUUUGAAAAACAAGAAAUUUUAUAAUAUUAUGGUCUGAUUUUCAGGAGAGCUGAGCACCGGUGUAUAUCACUGAAGUCCAUGGGAGCUAUAGAAUCUCAGCACAUUUGAAAAUCAAGCCAUUUGGCCCCAGUCCUGCAAUUAGUUAAGUAGCUGCUUAAUUUUAUGCAGGCGAGUAUUCCCACUGUGUUCAAUUGCAUUAAAAUUAAACACAUGCAUACAUAUUUGAAGAACUAGGGGCCUGAUGAAUUGCAUAAAACUGUCUCCCUAUAUUUCAACACAAGUGCAGGUAGAUAUUGAGGUAUAAAUAUCGGAGGUAGAUAUUGUCAUAUCUUCAAUGGCAGCAGAUGCUAACUGGCACUGUGCAGUCACCUUUAUUCAAACUGCACACUGGAUUAUUUGAAGAAGAAAUGAUAGGUUUGCUUCUUAUUUAGUGACAAAUAAUAAUGCCGCUUUCAGAGAACGAGCAUUCAGUACACCUGAAAAUUGCAGUAAACCAGAACUGACUUGGCCAGUCUCUCAGAUUAGGUAAAUCAGGGUAGCUCCAGUGACAUCACUGGGUUGAUCAAGGAGUUUAUCAAGGCAAGGAGAGGAAUGCUAGGGACUAUGCUUCCAAAGAUCAUUCAGAACACUACGGUUGGUUAUUUACAGUUAUCAACUGAGGAAAAAUAUUUGAAAAAGUUAAUUUCACUCUCCUUUCUUUUAAAGGAUGUCCUAGUAGCUGUGACCUCCAGAGAUUAGACGGGUGAAGGCAGACAGUCAGCAACACACACAAAUAGAAUCAUGUCAUGCAUAUACAUACUACACGCAUACACACACACGUAUAGUCAUGAAUACGCAUGCGGAAAUAAUUUUGCAUGUCUAAAAAUGGGAUUGGACAUCUGUAUGAGUCAGGGGUAGAGAGGGAGGGUUGUCAGGGAUAGGAAGGGGAGUGGAGUGGGUGCUCAGCAUGGGAAAUGAGGGAAGCCACCACUGACACUUGGAAGGUGGGGGUAUGGGCAGAGGGGUGGCGGGGAGGCUCCCAGUCAUUCACACUGCGGGUAGCUCCUCCCAGGCUCAGCCCAGUCACCCUGGUGCCUACCUGUUCCUAGACGCCAUGGGGUUAGAUCCAGCCCAUCCGUAGGGUGACCAUAUUUCCCUCAACUGAAAAUGGGACACUGGGUAAGCAGUGACGCCAGCCCAGCCGUGCACAGGGCUGGUCUCAGCCACCUGGCAUCAUUGCUUGCCUGAGCCCUGCCACACAGGGCCGUCAACCCAAACCAGGGCUGACAGCCUGAGCCCCACCAUGUGAGGCUGGCCCGAGCCUUCUGGCAUCACUGCUUGCCUGAGCUGACAUCACGGAGGUCAUGACUUUUUUUGGCAAAACUGGGCAUUUGUCCCAUUUGCUCUUGCCUGAAAAAGUCCUCUGCCCCUUCCCCCCCCGCCCCCCGCCAAGAGAAAAUGAGACAAAUGUCCAUUUUUGCCAGAAAAUUUAGGAUGUCUGGUACAGAGCUUAAUUGGCCAAAUGGGGUGUAUGGUCACCCUACCCAUCCAGGUCCCACUCUCACCUCUGCCCCCAGCAGCUGCAGAGUCCCACCUGGCCUGAUCAUGUGAAACAACUCUUGUGGGGGUGAAAAUGUAGAUCAGCCCCUCACAGUAUUUCCAUUGUGCCAGCCCACAGUGCCCCAGGUUCCACCACCCCUAGGAUUAUGCCACAACCGCCGACUGUGGGUUUUUACACCUUACUCUGACGCAUCUAGGACUGGUCCAUUUGGGGACAGGAUACUGAGCUAAAUGGGUCACUGGUCUGGCCAGGAUGGUGAUUCCUAUGUUCCUACAUACACACAGAGUCACAGAAAUCAUAGAAAUGUAUGGCUGUAAGGGAUCUCAAGAGGUCAUCUAGUCCAGCCUCCCUGCAAUGAGACCUGAUUAAGUAUUAAGUCAUGCACAUACAUCCUAGAUACACAAAGAUAUAGUCAUGCAUACAAGCACACAGUCCCACUACUUCCCUUUACUGUUUGGAGAAAAUGAUUUUACAGAUACAGCUGGAGGAAAAUAAGUGUAAGGAGAAUUUUUGUCCAUGUUUAUUGUUUACACAGUGCAAAAUGAUGAGUGAAUCGUUGCUACGUUUGCAUCCCAUCUUCUGCUUUGCUACUACCCUGUUAUUCCUUUGCCUGUUUCAAAUUCUUGUAUUCAGCCUCUGGGCUCUACCUUUCCUUUACAUUUUAUAUAUAGGCUUGUCAGAAUCCAACUUUUAUUUUUUUAUGUAUAAUUUAUUUUUUUUCCUUUGUUUUGAUUUAAAUUUUCACAGCUGCACAAAUUAUGGGUUUUAAGCAUUCCCCCCCAAUUUGUAUCAAUUUAAAUUUUCACAAUUGCGAGAAAUUAUGGGGCAGGGGUCAUGCACCAGGGAUCAGACAAUCGUUAUUUAAUGACCGUAGACACUGAGAUUCAAAGAGUUAAAGCUUUAUCACUGUUGCAAGACUAAAUGCCAUGUCACAAGUCACAUGUCAAAAUAUGAAGUAAAUAGCCUUAAAUCAAACUCUAAUAAGCUCUCAAGCAACAUUUUUCUUACUUUGCCUGUCUGUAAAUGUUUAUUCUUAGUGAGGGCAAUAUUUUUUUGUCAGUUUGUGUAUGUACGAUGAAACAUUUACCUACAAAAAUCUAAUCCUUCCAAUCCUAUGUAUAUAUCCUUUGGAGAGGCAAGUAUGUUCCAGUUAUUAUCAUUACAAUGCAGUUACUAGUGAGACCCUGUCAGCUGGGGUUUGGGUAUAAAGAUUUGUCCAUGGGAAAGGGUACAUCGGUCCAUUCAAUACAUGUGACACCAGAAAGCAAACAGAGACAACUUUUGGCCACAGUACCUAUCAAACCAUUUCAGGUCCAACAGUUACCGAAUCCUUUGGACUGUGGUAUACAGUAAGAGUGCAUUGCUGUCCUUGCUGAGAUGCUGCACCUUUCAGCUGUUUCCCUAACAUUAGGUCUAGUGUAAUUUUCUUUCAUUUCAUGGCUCAGGUUUCCACUGAGUGGAAAGGAGAUGCAAAAACUUGAGGUUUAGGAUGCGUUCAAAGUCUUUGCCAAAUGCAGUUUGAGAGCGAGGUAACACUAGAGGGCGCCAUGGUUUCAGUUUAAUUAACAAGAAAGGUUUACCAAUCCAGAGCACAAACCUGGAGCAAGGAAACAAAUCAGAACUAAAAGAUUACUAGUGCUUUCAUCAGGAUUUCAUGCUGAAUUUAUCUUGAUUUACAUGAAAAGAUUAUGCAGCAAUAGGAUCCAAAUGACAGUAAUCCAAGGACUCCAAAGGCCAUGUCCUGGUGCACUUGUAAUCUUAUUCAAGGCAAUUUGGUUUAAGUGGCUGGCACAAAAAACUUUUUUUUCUCCGCCUAGUUUUUGAUUCUUUUCUUUGAU